RNAcentral lists this ribosomal RNA (510 nucleotides) under uncultured bacterium. RNAcentral describes it as "partial 16S ribosomal RNA". It matches the Rfam family "Bacterial small subunit ribosomal RNA", at positions 28 to 507 of the family's 1533-position model. The record is from RNAcentral.
GACGAACGCUGGCGGCGUGCUUAACACAUGCAAGUCGAACGAAGAGCGAUGGAAGCUUGCUUCUGUCAAUCUUAGUGGCGAACGGGUGAGUAACGCGUAAUCAACCUGCCCUUCAGAGGGGGACAACAGUUGGAAACGACUGCUAAUACCGCAUACGAUCUAAUCUCGGCAUCGAGGAUAGAUGAAAGGUGGCCUCUACAUGUAAGCUAUCACUGAAGGAGGGGAUUGCGUCUGAUUAGCUAGUUGGAGGGGUAACGGCCCACCAAGGCGAUGAUCAGUAGCCGGUCUGAGAGGAUGAACGGCCACAUUGGGACUGAGACACGGCCCAGACUCCUACGGGAGGCAGCAGUGGGGAAUCUUCCGCAAUGGACGAAAGUCUGACGGAGCAACGCCGCGUGAGUGAUGACGGCCUUCGGGUUGUAAAGCUCUGUUAAUCGGGACGAAAGGCCUUCUUGCGAAUAGUGAGAAGGAUUGACGGUACCGGAAUAGAAAGCCACGGCUAACUACGUG